CCUGAAACCAAAUUUCAGAAUUCCUUGUCAAGUAGUUCCUAAGAAAAAUGUGACGAAACUUUCAACUUGGCUAUUAUGUGUAAAAUGAUACAAGUGUUCGGUAAACAGGAAGUUGUCGAGGGAUGAAUCUGAAAACGCAUCACACGGUAUAACUGACUUAUAUAAACCCUGAAACCAAAUUUCAGAAUUCCUUGUCAAGUAGUUCCUGAGAUAAAUGCGACCAAAA
Molecule: long non-coding RNA, 226 nt
Filed under: Mytilus galloprovincialis (Mediterranean mussel)
Lineage: Eukaryota; Metazoa; Mollusca; Bivalvia; Mytilida; Mytilidae
Source: RNAcentral